GUGGGGAAUAUUGGACAAUGGGCGCAAGCCUGAUCCAGCCAUUCCGCGUGCAGGAUGAAGGCCUUCGGGUUGUAAACUGCUUUUGUACGGAACGAAAAGCCUCUGGUUAAUACCCGGGGGUCAUGACGGUUCCGUAAGAAUAAGCACCGGCUAACUACGUGCCAGCAGCCGCGGUAAUACGUAGGGUGCGAGCGUUAAUCGGAAUUACUGGGCGUAAAGCGUGCGCAGGCGGUGAUGUAAGACAGGUGUGAAAUCCCCGGGCUCAACAUGGGAACUGCAUCUGUGACUGCAUUGCUGGGGUGUGGCAGAGGGGGAUGGAAUUCCGCGUGUAGCAGUGAAAUGCGUAGAUAUGCGGAGGAACACCGAUGGCGAAGGCAAUCCCCUGGGCCUGCACUGACGCUCAUGCACGAAAGCGUGGGGAGCAAACAGGAUUAGAUACCCGGGUAGUCC
RNAcentral lists this ribosomal RNA (450 nucleotides) under uncultured bacterium. RNAcentral's name for it is "partial 16S ribosomal RNA". It matches the Rfam family "Bacterial small subunit ribosomal RNA", at positions 354 to 796 of the family's 1533-position model. The record is from RNAcentral.